RNAcentral lists this long non-coding RNA (2412 nucleotides) under Homo sapiens (human). RNAcentral describes it as "HSALNT0273305". Lineage: Eukaryota; Metazoa; Chordata; Mammalia; Primates; Hominidae. The record is from RNAcentral.
CUUCAACCCAGCAGCCACUGUAAGGUGGAAGCCUGCCCAACCUUCAGGCUGGGCUCCCUUUGCAAAAGCUUUCCCAAUACACUGCCCAGAUGGUUGCAGGCAGUUUUAGACUAUGACACUGAAGUGACUUCACUUGGUCUUUUAUUGCCAAUUUUGAUUUAUAUUUAAGGAUGAUGGCUGAGAACAGGCAGGCCAUCAGGGGUCCCCCACCCCAACUCCCACAAUCAAUGCACAAGAAACAGAUUUGUAAAACCUAAUACUGUUCUUCUUUUUCUCUUUUUUUUUUUUUUUGAGACAGAGUCUCGCUCUGUCGCCCAGGCUGGAGUACAGUGGCACCAUCUCAGCUCACUACAAACUCCGCCUCCCGGGUUCAAGCGAUUCUUGUGCCUCAGCCUCCCGAGUAGCUGGGAUUACAAGUGUGUGCCACCGCGCCUGGCUAGUUUUUGUAUUUUUAGUAGAGAUGGGGUUCCACCAUGUUGGCCAGGCUGGUCUCAAACUCCCAACCUCAAGUGAUCCACCCACCUUGGCCUCCCAAAGUGCUGGGAUUACAGGUGUGAGCCACCACACCCAGAAAAACCUAAUACUGUUCCUCCCCAGGUAUGGCCAGGAAGCAGGCUGCUCAAUAAGGACAGGGGACCCAUGGUCAUUCAUCUGUCUGCACAGGAUCAACAACUGCAAACCGCACCUCACGCCAGCCACAUGACACUGAAAGCUGUCUCUUUUCAGAAGAGCUGAUGGCACCUCCUGCAUACUGUCCUUCAGUCCGCGGCCCCAGCAAAGGAGGAUGUCAAUCAGUGACGGGGCAGAGAUAAUCAAGAAAAUGCUUUCGGCUGGGCGCGGUGGCUCACGCCUGUAAUCCCAGCACUUUGGGAGGCUGAGGUGGGCAGAUCACGAGGUCAGGCGUUGGAGACCAGCCUGACCAACAUGGUGAAACACCAUCUCUACUAAAAAUACAAAAAUUAGCCGGGCGUGGUGGCGGGUGCCUGUAAUCCCAGCUACUGGAGAGGCUGAGGCAGGAGAAUCCCUUGAACCUAGGAGGUGAGGUUGCAGUGAGUGGAGAUUGCGCCACUGCACUCCAGCCUGGGUGACAGAGCGAGACUCUGUCUCGGAAAAAAAAAAAAAUGCUUUCAGUGGAAAUGCAUUUAACCAGAACAGACCGUAUCCAGGGAAAGUUUUUUCCCUUAGAUUUCUCAAUCUUGGCUGCGCAUCAGAAUUACUCCAGGAGCUUUAAGAAAUCCUAAUAUUCAGAACAUACCCCAGACCGAUUAGGCCAAAUCCUCCGAAGCGGGAACCCAGGCACUGGUAUGUCAGCUCUUAGGUGAUUUCAGUAUGCAGCUACAGUUGAGAACCACCCGUCAAAACAGAUACCAUUUGACCAGGCAUGGUGUCUCACGCCUGUAAUCCCAACACUUUGGGAGGCUGGGGAGGGAGGAUUACUUGAGCCCCAGGAGUUCGAGACCAGCCUGGGCAACAUGGAAAAACCCCGUCUCCCCUAAAAAUAUAAUAAUUAGGCCAGGUGCAGUAGCUCACACCUGUAAUCCCAACACUUUGGGAGGCCGAGGCAGGCAGAUCAUCUGAGGUCAGGAGUUAGAGACCAGCUUGGCCAACAUGGCAAAACCCCAUCUCUACUAAAAAUAUAAAAAUUAGCCGGAUGUGGUGGCACACACCUGUAAUCCUAGCUACUCAAGAGGCAGAGGCAGGAGAAUCGUUUGAACCCAGGAGGCGGAGGUUAUAGUGAGCCGAGAUUGUGCCACUGUACUCCAGCCUGGGCGACAGAGUGAGACUCCAUCUCAAAAAAAAAAGAAAAAAAAUAUAUAUAUACACACAUACUUGUGUGUGUGUGUAUAUAUAUAUAUAUGUAUCAUAUAUAUGUGUGUGUGUGGGUGCAUGUGUGUGUGAAAUUAGCAUGGCAUGGUGGCACAUGCCUGUAGUCCCAGCUACUCGGGAAGCUGAGGUGGAAGGAUCGCUCGAGCCCAGGAGGUCGAGGCUGCAGUGAGCUGAGAUAGCGCCACUGCACUCCAGCCUGGGCAACAGAGCAAGACCCUGUCUCAAAAAACAAAAAAGAUACUUUUUUUGCUUUGAAAAACCAAUCUAAAAAACUAACCUAUUUAGAUACCAAAUUGCAUAUGAAAUAAAAUCUCAAUUCUCUUUUUAGAAUAAAUAGAUCCACAAAAAUGCUAAGGAAAUAUACUACAACAUUAACGAGGGUUACUUCUGGUGGGAAGAUGAUGGGUGAUACCCAUCUUUUUCACUUCACUUAGUUACUAAAAGAAUAAGCAUCGUCACCUUUAAAAUCAGAAAACAAACACAACUACCUUCCAAAGUUUAAUCAAUCAACUCCUUAGAAGUGAAAUCUAACAAUCACUUCAAAUACUCUAAAAUUCGACAGAGUAAAAUCUCAAAUUACUUUCU